CAAAUCAUUCCUACCACCUGUCAUCUCAUGCCUGUCUAUUCCACGUGUGACAGAAAUCCCUAUGACUAAGAGUGUUAGGCAUCAGCCAUUUUUCUAACUUUGAGCAUAUGAUGGACAAUCCUCUGUCAUUUUCUGUGGCAGUUGUUUGUGAUCUGCCUGAGCUUUGUUGAUGAUAUGCUGACCGAGAAUAUAUUUACUUGUCAUCUGUUUUCGUUUCUAAAUCACUCUAAGACUACAUAUAUACUCUUUUUGUUUUUAACAUGUACAAAUCUAUCUUGUGGGUCUGGGCUACCUGCUUUUUGCUGAUGAUGGAAGUUUGAGAGGAGUCAGCCCAAUUCCCCAGCUUCAGUAGCCCCGGGUUCUCUGGGGUUACGUAAGCUCGCUGGCUUCUGUAGUAGGGCAGAAAUGGCAGACUUUCCCCUGCAUGAUGCUUCCAUUUCCCAAACGACAGGAUCACAGCACUAUCCCACUGGCUAUGAUUUUGAGGCGGGAAGAUAUUCAGCUACCACUUACAAUGUGUGCGACUAUAAACAGGUGCUUCCCAUUAGCGGUGUUUCCCAUGCUAGCCUGUGCUUAAUUACUUAACCAGUUGUACGGACAAAGGCAACCUGUAUGGUUAAUAUCACAGACACUUUAGCAGCUGCCAGAGC
This 650-nucleotide long non-coding RNA is filed under the name Capra hircus (goat). RNAcentral describes it as "lncRNA (ENSCHIG00010024670.1)". Lineage: Eukaryota; Metazoa; Chordata; Mammalia; Artiodactyla; Bovidae. The record is from RNAcentral.